GGUCUGGGUGGAGCCUGAGAUCUGUAUUUCUCCAAGUUCCCAGAUGACAACCACACUGUGUGGUCAGGGGA
This 71-nucleotide microRNA precursor is filed under the name Fukomys damarensis (Damara mole-rat). RNAcentral's name for it is "miRNA (ENSFDAG00000002991.1)". Lineage: Eukaryota; Metazoa; Chordata; Mammalia; Rodentia; Bathyergidae. The record is from RNAcentral.